AGUGAACGCUGGCGGUAGGCCUAACACAUGCAAGUCGAACGGCAGCACAGGAGAGCUUGCUCUCUGGUUGGUGAGUGGCGGACGGGUGAGGAAUACAUCGGAAUCUACUCUGUCGUGGGGGAUAACGUAGGGAAACUUACGCUAAUACCGCAUACGACCUACGGGUGAAAGCAGGGGAACUUCGGACCUUGCGCGAUUGAAUGAGCCGAUGUCGGAUUAGCUAGUUGGCGGGGUAAAGGCCCACCAAGGCGACGGUCCGUAGCUGGUCUGAGAGGAUGAUCAGCCACACUGGAACUGGGACACGGUCCAGACUCCUACGGGAGGCAGCAGUGGGGAAUAUUGGACAAUGGGCGCAAGCCUGAUCCAGCCAUACCGCGUGGGUGAAGAAGGCCUUCGGGUUGUAAAGCCCUUUUGUUGGGAAAGAAAUCCAGCUGGCUAAUACCCGGUUGGGAUGACGGUACCCAAAGAAUAAGCACCGGCUAACUUCGUGCCAGCAGCCGCCGCCG
RNAcentral lists this ribosomal RNA (506 nucleotides) under uncultured bacterium. RNAcentral's name for it is "partial 16S ribosomal RNA". It matches the Rfam family "Bacterial small subunit ribosomal RNA", at positions 29 to 523 of the family's 1533-position model. The record is from RNAcentral.